AUACGUAGGGGGCAAGCGUUAUCCGGAUUUACUGGGUGUAAAGGGAGCGUAGACGGAAGGCCAAGUCUGAUGUGAAAGCCCGCGGCUCAAUUGCGGGACUGCAUUGGAAACUGGUCAUCUGGAGUGCAGGAGGGGUAAGCGGAAUUCCUAGUGUAGCGGUGAAAUGCGUAGAUAUUAGGAGGAACACCGGUGGCGAAGGCGGCUUACUGGACUGUAACUGACGUUGAGGCUCGAAGGCGUGGGGAGCAAACAGGAUUAGAUACCCUGGUAGUCCACGCGGUAAACGAUGAUCACUAGGUGUCCGUGGGUAUGACCCAUGGGUGCCGCAGCCAACGCAAUAAGUAUUCCACCUGGGGAGUACGUUCGCAAGAAUGAAACUCAAAUGAAUUGGCGGGG
RNAcentral lists this ribosomal RNA (396 nucleotides) under uncultured bacterium. RNAcentral's name for it is "partial 16S ribosomal RNA". It matches the Rfam family "Bacterial small subunit ribosomal RNA", at positions 523 to 918 of the family's 1533-position model. The record is from RNAcentral.